UAUCGGCGUAGAGUGAGUCGGCCCCUAAGGCGAGGCAGAGAUGCGUAGCUGAUGGGAAACAGGUCAAUAUUCCCGUACCGAUCAAUAGUGCGAUGUGGGGACGGAGAAGGUUAGCUCAGCCAACUGUUGGAUGUUGGUUCAAGCCUGUAGUCGUGCCUGGUAGGCAAAUCCGCCGGGCUUAGAUGAGGGGUGAUAACGAGUCUGCUUGCAGACGAAGUGAGUGAUACCCUGCUUCCAGGAAAAGCCACUAAGCUUCAGCUAUUGACGACCGUACCGCAAACCGACACUGGUGCGCGAGAUGAGUAUUCUAAGGCGCUUGAGAGAACACAGGAGAAGGAACUCGGCAAAUUGACACCGUAACUUCGGGAGAAGGUGUGCCCUCAGUAGGUGAACCUGUACAAGGGGAGCCCAAAGGGGUUGCAAAGAAUCGGUGGCUGCGACUGUUUAUUAAAAACACAGCACUCUGCAAACACGAAAGUGGACGUAUAGGGUGUGACGCCUGCCCGGUGCUGGAAGAUUAAAUGAUGGGGUGCAAGCUCUUGAUUGAAGUCCCAGUAAACGGCGGCCGUAACAAUAACGGUCCUAAGGUAGCGAAAUUCCUUGUCGGGUAAGUUCCGACCUGCACGAAUGGCGUAACGAUGGCCACACUGUCUCCUCCUGAGACUCAGCGAAGUUGAAAUGUUUGUGAUGAUGCAAUCUCCCCGCGGAAAGACGGAAAGACCCCAUGAACCUUUACUGUAGCUUUGUAUUGGACUUUGAACGGAUCUGUAUAGGAUAGGUGGGAGGCUUUGAAGCGGUGUCGCUAGACAUCGUGGAGCCAACGUUGAAAUACCACCCUGGUGCGUUUGAGGUUCUAACCUGGAUCCCUUAUCGGGAUUGGGGACAGUGCAUGGUAGGCAGUUUGACUGGGGCGGUCUCCUCCCAAAGCGUAACGGAGGAGUUCGAAGGUACGCUAGUUACGGUCGGACAUCGUGACGAUAGUGCAAUGGCAUAAGCGUGCUUAACUGCGAGACUGACAAGUCGAGCAGAUGCGAAAGCAGGACAUAGUGAUCCGGUGGUUCUGUAUGGAAGGGCCAUCGCUCAACGGAUAAAAGGUACUCUGGGGAUAACAGGCUGAUACCGCCCAAGAGUUCAUAUCGACGGCGGUGUUUGGCACCUCGAUGUCGGCUCAUCUCAUCCUGGGGCUGUAGCCGGUCCCAAGGGUAUGGCUGUUCGCCAUUUAAAGAGGUACGUGAGCUGGGUUUAAAACGUCGUGAGACAGUUUGGUCCCUAUCUUCCGUGGGCGCUGCAGAUUUGAGGAAGCCUGCUCCUAGUACGAGAGGACCGGAGUGGACACACCUCUGGUGUACCGGUUGUCACGCCAGUGGCAUCGCCGGGUAGCUAUGUGUGGAAGAGAUAACCGCUGAAAGCAUCUAAGCGGGAAACUCGUUUCAAGAUGAGAUCUGCCGGGGCCUUGAGCCCCCUAAAGAGUCGUUCAAGACCAGGACGUUGAUAGGCUGGGUGUGGAAGCGCAGUAAUGCGUUAAGCUAACCAGUACUAAUUGCUCGUGCGGCUUGACCG
This 1560-nucleotide ribosomal RNA is filed under the name metagenome. Its description in RNAcentral is "bacterial LSU rRNA". It matches the Rfam family "Bacterial large subunit ribosomal RNA", at positions 1367 to 2925 of the family's 2925-position model. The record is from RNAcentral.